UACGUAGGGUGCAGGCGUUAAUCGGAAUUACUGGGCGUAAAGCGUGCGCAAGCGGUUUGCUAAGACAGGUGUGAAAUCCCCGGGCUUAACCUGGGAACUGCGCUUGUAACUGGCAAGCUGGAGUGUGGCAGAGGGGGGUGGAAUUCCGCGUGUAGCAGUGAAAUGCGUAGAGAUGCGGAGGAACACCGAUGGCGAAGGCAGCCCCCUGGGCUAACACUGACACUCAUGCACGAAAGCGUGGGGAGCAAACAGG
This 253-nucleotide ribosomal RNA is filed under the name uncultured bacterium. Its description in RNAcentral is "partial 16S ribosomal RNA". It matches the Rfam family "Bacterial small subunit ribosomal RNA", at positions 524 to 776 of the family's 1533-position model. The record is from RNAcentral.